GGGGAAUAUUGCGCAAUGGGGGAAACCCUGACGCAGCAAUACCGCGUGAGUGAAGAAGGUUUCCGGAUCGUAAAGCUCUGUUAUUGGGGAAGAAAAAAAGACGGUACCCAAGAAGAAAGUCCCGGCUAACUACGUGCCAGAAGCCGCGGUAAUACGUAGGGGACAAGCGUUGUCCGGAUUUACUGGGCGUAAAGGGCACGCAGGCGGUUUUUUAAGUCAGAUGUGAAAGGUACCGGCUCAACCGGUGACAUGCAUUUGAAACUGAAAGACUUGAGUAUUGGAGAGGCAAGUGGAAUUCCUAGUGUAGCGGUGAAAUGCGUAGAUAUUAGGAGGAACACCGGUGGCGAAGGCGGAUUACUGGACGACAACUGACGGUGAGGCGCGAAAGCGUGGGGAGCAAACA
Molecule: ribosomal RNA, 403 nt
Filed under: uncultured Acetobacterium sp.
Lineage: Bacteria; Bacillati; Bacillota; Clostridia; Eubacteriales; Eubacteriaceae
Description: bacterial SSU rRNA
Rfam family: Bacterial small subunit ribosomal RNA
Source: RNAcentral